UUAUAGUAGACAAAAAUACCUUCAUAUAGUAUGGAUUCUAAGUUUUAAAGUCAAGUAUAUUUAAAUAAUUUUCAUUCUCAAAACUAAAAAAAACCCUUAAACCCUUAAUCACAUCUCUCAUUCCUCUCAAUCCUUUCCCUUUCAUCUCUCUCACCCCAAUCUUUUCUCUGUCAUCUGUAGUAGCCCCAAUUAAAAAAUAGAAAC
RNAcentral lists this long non-coding RNA (204 nucleotides) under Vigna radiata. RNAcentral describes it as "long non-coding RNA (VRAD_LNC011270)". Lineage: Eukaryota; Viridiplantae; Streptophyta; Magnoliopsida; Fabales; Fabaceae. The record is from RNAcentral.